Molecule: ribosomal RNA, 526 nt
Filed under: uncultured Actinomycetes bacterium
Lineage: Bacteria; Bacillati; Actinomycetota; Actinomycetes
Description: bacterial SSU rRNA
Rfam family: Bacterial small subunit ribosomal RNA
Source: RNAcentral
AAUAUUGGACAAUGGGCGAAAGCCUGAUCCAGCAACGCCGCGUGAGGGAUGACGGCCUUCGGGUUGUAAACCUCUUUCAGUAGGGACGAAGCUAACGUGACGGUACCUACAGAAGAAGUACCGGCCAACUACGUGCCAGCAGCCGCGGUAAUACGUAGGGUGCGAGCGUUGUCCGGAAUUAUUGGGCGUAAAGGGCUCGUAGGCGGUUUGUCACGUCGGGAGUGAAAACUCGGGGCUUAACUCCGAGCCUGCUUCCGAUACGGGCUGACUAGAGGUAUGCAGGGGAGAACGGAAUUCCUGGUGUAGCGGUGAAAUGCGCAGAUAUCAGGAGGAACACCGGUGGCGAAGGCGGUUCUCUGGGCAUUACCUGACGCUGAGGAGCGAAAGCGUGGGGAGCGAACAGGAUUAGAUACCCUGGUAGUCCACGCCGUAAACGGUGGGCACUAGGUGUGGGGACCAUUCCACGGUCUCUGCGCCGCAGCUAACGCAUUAAGUGCCCCGCCUGGGGAGUACGGCCGCAAGGCUA